GAUGAACGCUAGCGGCAGGCCUAACACAUGCAAGUCGAGGGGCAGCACAGAGAGUCAGCAAUGAGUUUUGGUGGCUACCGGCAGACGGGCGCGUAACGCGUGUGCAACCUACCCUUAACAGGGGAAUAACGGAGGGAAACUUCCACUAAAACCCCAUAAAAUCACAAGAGGCAUCCCUUGGGGUUGAAGGCUCCCGCGGUUACGGAUGGGCACGCGUUGUAUUAGAUUGUUGGUGAGGUAACGGCUCACCAAGUCUACGAUACAUAGGGGGACUGAGAGGUUAACCCCCCACACUGGUACUGAGACACGGACCAGACUCCUACGGGAGGCAGCAGUGAGGAAUAUUGGUCAAUGGACGCAGGUCUGAACCAGCCAUGCCGCGUGCAGGAAGACGGCUCUAUGAGUUGUAAACUGCUUUUGCAAGAGGAUAAUUGCGGGUACGUGUACCCGCUUGAAGGUACCUUGCGAAUAAGGAUCGGCUAACUCCGUGCCAGCCGCCGCAGUAA
RNAcentral lists this ribosomal RNA (506 nucleotides) under uncultured bacterium. RNAcentral's name for it is "partial 16S ribosomal RNA". It matches the Rfam family "Bacterial small subunit ribosomal RNA", at positions 28 to 523 of the family's 1533-position model. The record is from RNAcentral.